Molecule: transfer RNA, 72 nt
Filed under: Danio rerio (zebrafish)
Lineage: Eukaryota; Metazoa; Chordata; Actinopteri; Cypriniformes; Danionidae
Description: tRNA-Pro (CGG) (tRNA-Pro-CGG-31-1, tRNA-Pro-CGG-31-2)
Rfam family: tRNA
About the family: Transfer RNA (tRNA) molecules are approximately 80 nucleotides in length. Their secondary structure includes four short double-helical elements and three loops (D, anti-codon, and T loops).
Source: Rfam by way of RNAcentral
GGCUCGUUGGUCUAGGGGUAUGAUUCUCGCUUCGGGAGCGAGAGGUCCUGGGUUUAAAUCCCGGAUGAGCCC